Molecule: long non-coding RNA, 635 nt
Organism: Saccostrea cuccullata (small rock oyster)
Lineage: Eukaryota; Metazoa; Mollusca; Bivalvia; Ostreida; Ostreidae
Exons: 3
Source: RefSeq, a predicted model, not a curated record
AUCAUGAUAAUCAGUUGCAAUGUGAACUAACAAAUAACCUUGAAGUACAAGCAGAUCCAAUUAAUGUGGAACAAAUAAAGGAGAAUCAUGAUGAUGAUAAGUUGCAAUGUGAACUACCAAAUUACCAUGAAGUACAACCAGAUUCAAAGCAUAUGGAACAAAUAGAGGUGGAAUCAAUUUCAGACGACAACUUUUCCAAACACCUUGUGAAAGUCAUCUGAAUGCCAGGAUUCUCAGGAGCAUGAAGAUAGUCCAUUACAUAGAAGGAAGACCUUGAUUAUGUAUCUUGAUGCCAUUGGUGAAAAGGCAGAGGUCUAACACUGACUGUGAAGAAAAUGACUUGACAGCUGAAGGGAACAUGAACAAUAUGAAUCAGAUUUCUGAUAGGGCUCUUAAAGCAGUGAACUAAAAAACAUUUUCUUACUAAGUUUAAGAUUUUGAUAUCAAAGUUUUUGAAAGGGGGAUAUAGGAAUCACCCUGUUUGUUUGUCCAUCUGUCUGUGGACAACACUUGGAUUAUACUGUUCUAGCUCUAGUUGGUUAAAAUAGAUAAUAUCUAAAAUCAAAUGUGUCAUACUUCUUGUUUACUGUGCAUAAAUGUACAUUGAAGAACAUACUGUAUAAGUAGAAUUUUUA